AUGCUAUCAACUCAACUUAUAAAAUAACUUUAAAUUUUAUGAAUACUUAUUUCUGAAAAAUAAAUUUUUUCCACUCGCAUAAUACAAGCUAUAGCCUAGGAUGGUCGGUGGGCUUUUCCAAUGUUCUCGUCACUACCUGAAAUAUAAUAUAAGAUAACCAUAUUAACUAUUAACAAAUUUAGAAACCUUUUAUCUCUAAUGAUAUAAUACUUAAACUAAGUUUUUCAAUACUUGAAUAAAUUUCCUAGAUAUUUCUUUAAUCAAUUGAAGCUAAUUCUACUUUCUAAUACCAUCACAAAUAUAUACUUUAUCCAAAUUUACCUUCAUCCCACUCGUAAAAAUAAUUAUCGCUUUAAAUUUAGUGAAAACUAGCAAUCAUACUACAACCAAUUUUAUAGACAUCUUGUUCCAUAGCACCAUUCUUUCAAGUGAAUAAUUUCAUCAAUGUAAUCACUUUCACAAUUAAUCCUUACUCAAGCAUCCAAUUUAAAAUCUAGGGUUUGCCAAAAAUGGUACUUCUUACCUUAAUGAAAUUGGAAACUAAAGAAUCAAGAAACUUGAGCUCCAAUUUGUACUCAUAUCUCAUAAAUCAGAAAAUUUAUACCACUAAUUAAAACCCUAGAAAUUUAACAUAAAAUUAUUCCUUUAUCUCUUGAAGAAAAUAAAGAAAAGGCAAAAUGAAAACAAGCUUGAACUACCUAUUUUCCCUUCUUCUCCUCCUCUUUUUCCUUUUCCUCUUCUUUUUCUUGUUUUCUUUCUCCUUUUCUUCCUCCCCGUUUUCUCUUCUGCUCUCGGCUGUGUGUGGG
RNAcentral lists this long non-coding RNA (806 nucleotides) under Olea europaea (common olive). RNAcentral's name for it is "long non-coding RNA (OEUR_LNC007869)". The record is from RNAcentral. Lineage: Eukaryota; Viridiplantae; Streptophyta; Magnoliopsida; Lamiales; Oleaceae.